GAUUAGCUCAGCGGUAGAGUAGAUGACUGUUAAUCAUUUGGUCGCUGGUUCGAAUCCAGCAU
Molecule: transfer RNA, 62 nt
Filed under: uncultured Sulfurovum sp.
Lineage: Bacteria; Pseudomonadati; Campylobacterota; Epsilonproteobacteria; Campylobacterales; Sulfurovaceae
Rfam family: tRNA
About the family: Transfer RNA (tRNA) molecules are approximately 80 nucleotides in length. Their secondary structure includes four short double-helical elements and three loops (D, anti-codon, and T loops).
Source: RNAcentral